Molecule: ribosomal RNA, 409 nt
Filed under: uncultured microorganism
Description: bacterial SSU rRNA
Rfam family: Archaeal small subunit ribosomal RNA
Source: RNAcentral
GCGCACCAGUCGAGAAACUUUACAAUGUGCGAAAGCACGAUAAGGGAACUCUGAGUGCCUCCUAAGGAGGCUGUUCAGGUGUCUAAAAAGCACCUGGAGUAAGGGCUGGGUAAGACCGGUGCCAGCCGCCGCGGUAACACCGGCAGCCCAGGUGGUAGCCACUUUUAUUGGGUCUAAAGCGUCCGUAGCCGGUUGAGUAAGUUCCUUGGGAAAUUUGGCUGCUCAACAGUCAAGCUUCCAGGGAAUACUGCUCGACUUGGGACUGGGAGAGGUCAGAGGUACUCCAGGGGUAGGGGUGAAAUCCAUUAAUCCCUGGGGGACCACCGGUAGCGAAGGCGUCUGACCAGACCAGGUCCGACGGUGAGGGACGAAGGCUAGGGUCGCGAACCGGAUUAGAUACCCCCGUAGU